This 467-nucleotide ribosomal RNA is filed under the name uncultured bacterium. Its description in RNAcentral is "SSU rRNA". It matches the Rfam family "Bacterial small subunit ribosomal RNA", at positions 26 to 518 of the family's 1533-position model. The record is from RNAcentral.
AGAAUCAACGCUGGCGGCGUGCCUAACACAUGCAAGUCGCACGAGAAAGGGGAGCAAUCCCUGAGUAAAGUGGCGCACGGGUGAGUAACACGUGAAUAAUCUACCUCCGAGUGGGGAAUAACUGAGAGAAAUCUUAGCUAAUACCGCAUAACACUUACGAGUCAAAGCAGCAAUGCGCUUGGAGAGGAGUUCGCGGCCGAUUAGUUAGUUGGCGGGGUAAUGGCCCACCAAGACGAUGAUCGGUAUCCGGCCUGAGAGGGGCGCGACGGAACGACGACCUGGAACGUGAAACACGGUCCAGACUCCUACGGGAGGCAGCAGUGGGGAAUUUUGCGCAAUGGGGGAAACCCUGACGCAGCAACGCCGCGUGGAGGAUGAAGCCCCUUGGGGUGUAAACUCCUUUCGAUCGGGAAGAUAAUGACGGUACCGAUAUAAGAAGCCCCGGCUAACUUCGUGCCAGCAGCCGC